GCAUUAGUGGUGUAACGGUAACAUUCAACCCUUCCAUGAUCCGAGCCGUGAGGUAAAGGUUGAGAGCAAGGUUGGGCCCUGGGUUCGACUCCCAGCUAAUGCA
This is a non-coding RNA of Aspergillus sclerotioniger CBS 115572, 103 nucleotides long. The record is from the annotation of a RefSeq genome assembly. Lineage: Eukaryota; Fungi; Ascomycota; Eurotiomycetes; Eurotiales; Aspergillaceae.